GACGAGCGCUGGCGGCGUGCCUAAUACAUGCAAGUAGAACGCUGAAGAGAGGAGCUUGCUCUUCUUGGAUGAGUUGCGAACGGGUGAGUAACGCGUAGGUAACCUGCCUGGUAGCGGGGGAUAACUAUUGGAAACGAUAGCUAAUACCGCAUAAAAUUGAUUAUUGCAUGAUAAUUAAUUGAAAGAUGCAACUGCAUCACUACCAGAUGGACCUGCGUUGUAUUAGCUAGUUGGUGAGGUAACGGCUCACCAAGGCGACGAUACAUAGCCGACCUGAGAGGGUGAUCGGCCACACUGGGACUGAGACACGGCCCAGACUCCUACGGGAGGCAGCAGUAGGGAAUCUUCGGCAAUGGGGGGAACCCUGACCGAGCAACGCCGCGUGAGUGAAGAAGGUUUUCGGAUCGUAAAGCUCUGUUGUAAGAGAAGAACGGGUGUGAGAGUGGAAAGUUCACACUGUGACGGUAGCUUACCAGAAAGGGACGGCUAACUACGUG
Molecule: ribosomal RNA, 497 nt
Filed under: uncultured bacterium
Lineage: Bacteria
Description: partial 16S ribosomal RNA
Rfam family: Bacterial small subunit ribosomal RNA
Source: RNAcentral